This is a long non-coding RNA of Calidris pugnax (ruff), 462 nucleotides long. RefSeq lists it as uncharacterized. The transcript has 2 exons. NCBI's taxonomy places the organism in Eukaryota, Metazoa, Chordata, Aves, Charadriiformes, Scolopacidae. The record is from RefSeq and is a predicted model, not a curated record.
GCCUGCGCUGUCUCCCGCAUCCUCAACGCUCUGCUGGAGAACAACCAGUUGCCGGAUGGCCGUGUCCGUGUGCCCCCCGUUUUGCAGCCCCUGGUGGGUCAGGAGGUGCUGGCCCCCCCACCGGCCCCCCUGCUCCGCUACAUCGGCCCCAACCAGCCCGGGGGGGGGCAAGAGGUGGCCUGAGGUGGGGACACACACACACACGAGAGAACGACAACCCCCCGGGGGGACCCCAAUGUCCCACGGAAUGGGACAGCAGAGGGGACCCCCCCGACGGACAGGACACGGAGGCGGAAGGAUGUUCCCAAGGAGGGGGACACAGACACAGGAUGCACGUGACACGAGGACACAUGUGACACGUAGACACUCAGGCACGUGACAGGUGGACACACACGUUAACGAGCCCCCCCAUGUUAACGACUCCCUGCAAUAAACACCCAUUUUUGUGCCCCCCGCCCGCCA